This 468-nucleotide ribosomal RNA is filed under the name uncultured bacterium. RNAcentral describes it as "partial 16S ribosomal RNA". It matches the Rfam family "Bacterial small subunit ribosomal RNA", at positions 28 to 507 of the family's 1533-position model. The record is from RNAcentral.
GACGAACGCUGGCGGCGUGCUUAACACAUGCAAGUCGAACGGAAAGGCCCUGCUUGCAGGGUGCUCGAGUGGCGAACGGGUGAGUAACACGUGGGUGAUCUGCCCCUUACUUUGGGAUAAGCCUGGGAAACUGGGUCUAAUACUGGAUAGGACCAUGCUGUAGGUGGUGUGGUGGAAAGAUUAGUUUCGGUAAGGGAUGAGCUCGCGGCCUAUCAGCUUGUUGGUGGGGUAAUGGCCUACCAAGGCGUCGACGGGUAGCCGGCCUGAGAGGGUGGACGGCCACAUUGGGACUGAGAUACGGCCCAGACUCCUACGGGAGGCAGCAAUGGGGAAUAUUGCACAAUGGGCGCAAGCCUGAUGCAGCGACGCCGCGUGGGGGAUGACGGCCUUCGGGUUGUAAACUCCUUUCAGCCAUGACGAAGCCUUCGGGUGACGGUAGUGGUAGAAGAAGCACCGGCUAACUACGUG